GGGUUGUGAGGUUAAGCGACUAAGCGUACACGGUGGAUGCCCUGGCAGUCAGAGGCGAUGAAGGGCGUGCUAAUCUGCGAUAAGCGCCGGUAAGGUGAUAUGAACCGUUAUAACCGGCGAUACCCGAAUGGGGAAACCCAGUGUGACUCGUCACACUAUCAUUAACUGAAUCCAUAGGUUAAUGAGGCGAACCGGGGGAACUGAAACAUCUAAGUACCCCGAGGAAAAGAAAUCAACCGAGAUUCCCCCAGUAGCGGCGAGCGAACGGGGAGGAGCCCAGAGCCUGAAUCAGCAUGUGUGUUAGUGGAAGCGUCUGGAAAGGCGCGCGAUACAGGGUGACAGCCCCGUACACAAAAGCGCAUGUGCUGUGAGCUCGAUGAGUAGGGCGGGACACGUGGUAUCCUGUCUGAAUAUGGGGGGACCAUCCUCCAAGGCUAAAUACUCCUGACUGACCGAUAGUGAACCAGUACCGUGAGGGAAAGGCGAAAAGAACCCCGGCGAGGGGAGUGAAAAAGAACCUGAAACCGUGUACGUACAAGCAGUGGGAGCACCCUUUGGGGUGUGACUGCGUACCUUUUGUAUAAUGGGUCAGCGACUUAUAUUCUGUAGCAAGGUUAACCGUAUAGGGGAGCCGCAGGGAAACCGAGUCUUAACCGGGCGUUAAGUUGCAGGGUAUAGACCCGAAACCCGGUGAUCUAGCCAUGGGCAGGUUGAAGGUUGGGUAACACUAACUGGAGGACCGAACCGACUAAUGUUGAAAAAUUAGCGGAUGACCUGUGGCUGGGGGUGAAAGGCCAAUCAAACCGGGAGAUAGCUGGUUCUCCCCGAAAGCUAUUUAGGUAGCGCCUCGUGAAUUCAUCUCCGGGGGUAGAGCACUGUUUCGGCUAGGGGGCCAUCCCGGCUUACCAACCCGAUGCAAACUGCGAAUACCGGAGAAUGUUAUCACGGGAGACACACGGCGGGUGCUAACGUCCGUCGUGAAGAGGGAAACAACCCAGACCGCCAGCUAAGGUCCCAAAGUCAUGGUUAAGUGGGAAACGAUGUGGGAAGGCCCAGACAGCCAGGAUGUUGGCUUAGAAGCAGCCAUCAUUUAAAGAAAGCGUAAUAGCUCACUGGUCGAGUCGGCCUGCGCGGAAGAUGUAACGGGGCUAAACCAUGCACCGAAGCUGCGGCAGCGACGCUUAUGCGUUGUUGGGUAGGGGAGCGUUCUGUAAGCCUGCGAAGGUGGCCUGUGAGGGUUGCUGGAGGUAUCAGAAGUGCGAAUGCUGACAUAAGUAACGAUAAAGCGGGUGAAAAGCCCGCUCGCCGGAAGACCAAGGGUUCCUGUCCAACGUUAAUCGGGGCAGGGUGAGUCGACCCCUAAGGCGAGGCCGAAAGGCGUAGUCGAUGGGAAACGGGUUAAUAUUCCCGUACUUGGUGUUACUGCGAAGGGGGGACGGAGAAGGCUAUGUUGGCCGGGCGACGGUUGUCCCGGUUUAAGCGUGUAGGUGUGUGUUCCAGGUAAAUCCGGUUCACUUUAACACUGAGGCGUGACGACGAGGCACUACGGUGCUGAAGCAACAAAUGCCCUGCUUCCAGGAAAAGCCUCUAAGCAUCAGGUAACAUCAAAUCGUACCCCAAACCGACACAGGUGGUCAGGUAGAGAAUACCAAGGCGCUUGAGAGAACUCGGGUGAAGGAACUAGGCAAAAUGGUGCCGUAACUUCGGGAGAAGGCACGCUGACACGUAGGUGAAGUGAUUUACUCACGGAGCUGAAGUCAGUCGAAGAUACCAGCUGGCUGCAACUGUUUAUUAAAAACACAGCACUGUGCAAACACGAAAGUGGACGUAUACGGUGUGACGCCUGCCCGGUGCCGGAAGGUUAAUUGAUGGGGUCAGCGCAAGCGAAGCUCCUGAUCGAAGCCCCGGUAAACGGCGGCCGUAACUAUAACGGUCCUAAGGUAGCGAAAUUCCUUGUCGGGUAAGUUCCGACCUGCACGAAUGGCGUAAUGAUGGCCAGGCUGUCUCCACCCGAGACUCAGUGAAAUUGAACUCGCUGUGAAGAUGCAGUGUACCCGCGGCAAGACGGAAAGACCCCGUGAACCUUUACUAUAGCUUGACACUGAACAUUGAGCCUUGAUGUGUAGGAUAGGUGGGAGGCUUUGAAGCGUGGACGCCAGUCUGCGUGGAGCCGACCUUGAAAUACCACCCUUUAAUGUUUGAUGUUCUAACGUGGACCCGUGAUCCGGGUUGCGGACAGUGUCUGGUGGGUAGUUUGACUGGGGCGGUCUCCUCCUAAAGAGUAACGGAGGAGCACGAAGGUUGGCUAAUCCUGGUCGGACAUCAGGAGGUUAGUGCAAUGGCAUAAGCCAGCUUGACUGCGAGCGUGACGGCGCGAGCAGGUGCGAAAGCAGGUCAUAGUGAUCCGGUGGUUCUGAAUGGAAGGGCCAUCGCUCAACGGAUAAAAGGUACUCCGGGGAUAACAGGCUGAUACCGCCCAAGAGUUCAUAUCGACGGCGGUGUUUGGCACCUCGAUGUCGGCUCAUCACAUCCUGGGGCUGAAGUAGGUCCCAAGGGUAUGGCUGUUCGCCAUUUAAAGUGGUACGCGAGCUGGGUUUAGAACGUCGUGAGACAGUUCGGUCCCUAUCUGCCGUGGGCGCUGGAGAACUGAGGGGGGCUGCUCCUAGUACGAGAGGACCGGAGUGGACGCAUCACUGGUGUUCGGGUUGUCAUGCCAAUGGCACUGCCCGGUAGCUAAAUGCGGAAGAGAUAAGUGCUGAAAGCAUCUAAGCACGAAACUUGCCCCGAGAUGAGUUCUCCCUGAGACUUAGAGUCUCCUGAAGGAACGUUGAAGACGACGACGUUGAUAGGCCGGGUGUGUAAGCGCAGCGAUGCGUUGAGCUAACCGGUACUAAUGAACCGUGAGGCUUAACCUUACAACGCCGAAG
This 2927-nucleotide ribosomal RNA is filed under the name Salmonella enterica. RNAcentral describes it as "23S ribosomal RNA". It matches the Rfam family "Bacterial large subunit ribosomal RNA". The record is from RNAcentral. Lineage: Bacteria; Pseudomonadati; Pseudomonadota; Gammaproteobacteria; Enterobacterales; Enterobacteriaceae.